ACUCAAAGUGAUUCCCUCUCCAAGGGGCCUGCCAGUGCUCCUCAGGAACAUAGCAACUUGGAAGAAGAUGUGCAUGCCUCGGGCCUUAGCGGGAGAGAUGUUUUCGUUUCUCUGCCUGCCUGCGGCUGCCUACAUGC
This is a small nucleolar RNA of Suncus etruscus (white-toothed pygmy shrew), 137 nucleotides long. RefSeq annotates it as small nucleolar RNA SNORA67. The transcript has a single exon. The record is from RefSeq and is a predicted model, not a curated record. NCBI's taxonomy places the organism in Eukaryota, Metazoa, Chordata, Mammalia, Eulipotyphla, Soricidae.